AAUAAUUAAUUUAAUCAAUUACUACAAUCUCAAAAUAGCCGUUUAUUAAGUUGAAAUAUACAAUUAUUUUUUGGUUUGAUUUUUCUCUUAAAAAUCCUUGUUUACGUGUCAACAAGCAACAUGUACCUAUUGAUCUUUCUCACCAAUCCACCAGUGUCCUAGAAUCUGAAAUUGCGUGGUUAAAACAUAGAGGAGGAGUAUCAAAUUGUGUGGUUCAAAAUUUAUUUUUAAAAAAAUCUCAAACUGUGACACGUUAUUAUUGAUGUUUCAUCUUUAUGCCCGCAGACUGACGUAUGCCUAUCUGUCUUUCUCACCAAUCCAUCAAUGUCUUAAAAUCUCAAAUUGAGUGGUUCAAAAAUACAUCAAGAUUAUCAAAUUGUGGUUCAAAUUUUACUAUAAAAAAAAUCUGAAUUUGUGAGAAAGCGAUUGUUCAAAUUUCACGAUCCACGCUUUUCGUUUGACACGACAGCCAAAACAAUUUUGACUUGUUUAUUGAAUUUUAAUUUUAUUUAAAUUUUU
Molecule: long non-coding RNA, 519 nt
Filed under: Citrus x clementina
Lineage: Eukaryota; Viridiplantae; Streptophyta; Magnoliopsida; Sapindales; Rutaceae
Description: Citrus clementina (C. clementina) long non-coding RNA (CCLE_LNC000940)
Source: RNAcentral